AAAUGACCAAUCAGAAUGCCUUGAUGUAAGUUGGUAAGAAUGAGUAUCUGCUCACUAUUUUCGUAUGGUAGCAUUAUCUGUGUGUAGACCGGGACUUACCAGUUUAGCUUUGCUGUAGUGUUCGGGGUAUUCGUGAGCUUAGUCUAAUAAAUAUAUACAUUAUUGUGCACGAAACAUUUGCAUUAACAUUACGAUUUUUAAAAAGUUACUCUUAUACAAUUCAGCAAUAUCUUUUCAAGAUUGAUCAAAACGAUCCAUCAGCCUAAGAAAAGUUUGUGAAACUUUUACUGCAAAAAUUUAUACAGACAUUACGCCAUACAUAUAUCAAGAUACUAAUUACUAUCAAGAAAAAUGAUUUUACCUAAUAAUAUCGAGGAAUGGGUGGAUUUCAUUCUGAUGCUAUUAGGACCAAGGAGCAUUAACAGUUUACGUACAAAAAAUAAGACAUCUCCAACGAAUACUUCAUCAACAAUUACUUCAAAUAAUACAAUAAAUUUAGAUCCGAAGAGUAAAAUUGAAUAUUGUAUAUAUAUAAUAUCGUUAUUAAUUUCUGCUUUGUUUGUUUUUUUAAUUUUGCUCGCUAUUAUUGGAUUUUACAUACUCUUAACGCUAAUUAUGUGGAAUUUUACCAAUUGGUGCUACAGACUAUUAGGGGCAGACGAACACUGGAUCCACUGCAUACGCUGGAUGAACUGGAUACACUGGAUACGCCUUACGAUUUACUAUUCUAAAAGUCGAUAAAUAAUGUCGUUUGAAUCAGUCAUAUGACAUACAUUGUAGAGCUCAUUAGAGACCUGUCUCUCUAAUGUACAAGCCCCCUUUUUUUUAAUGCAUUUUUCAUGUAUAAAUAUUCAUGGCUGUUCGAGCGUGGCUGAAUAAAGAUUAUUCUUAUAUCUUUAUCAAAUCAA
Molecule: long non-coding RNA, 908 nt
Organism: Solenopsis invicta (red fire ant)
Lineage: Eukaryota; Metazoa; Arthropoda; Insecta; Hymenoptera; Formicidae
Exons: 3
Source: RefSeq, a predicted model, not a curated record